AGCGAACGCUGGCGGCAGGCCUAACACAUGCUAGUCGAACGAACCUUUCGGGGUUAGUGGCGGACGGGUGAGUAACACGUGGGAACGUGCCUUUAGGUUCGGAAUAACUCAGGGAAACUUGUGCUAAUACCGAAUGUGCCCUUCGGGGGAAAGAUUAAUCGCCUUUAGAGCGGCCCGCGUCUGAUUAGCUAGUUGGUUGAGGUAAUGGCUCACCAAGGCGACGAUCAGUAGCUGGUCUGAGAGGAUGAUCAGCCACAUUGGGACUGAGACACGGCCCAAACUCCUACGGGAGGCAGCAGUGGGGAAUCUUGCGCAAUGGGCGAAAGCCUGACGCAGCCAUGCCGCGUGAAUGAUGAAGGUCUUAGGAUUGUAAAAUUCUUUCACCGGGGACGAUAAUGACGGUACCCGGAGAAGAAGCCCCGGCUAACUUCGUG
Molecule: ribosomal RNA, 434 nt
Filed under: uncultured bacterium
Lineage: Bacteria
Description: partial 16S ribosomal RNA
Rfam family: Bacterial small subunit ribosomal RNA
Source: RNAcentral